GACGAACGCUGGCGGCGUGCUUAACACAUGCAAGUCGAACGGAAAGGCCCUGCUUUUGUGGGGUGCUCGAGUGGCGAACGGGUGAGUAACACGUGAGUAACCUGCCCUUGACUUUGGGAUAACUUCAGGAAACUGGGGCUAAUACCGGAUAGGAGCUCCUGCUGCAUGGUGGGGGUUGGAGAGUUUCGGCGGUUGGGGAUGGACUCGCGGCUUAUCAGCUUGUUGGUGUGGUAGGGGCUUACCAAGGCUUUGACGGGUAGCCGGCCUGAGAGGGUGACCGGCCACAAGAGUACUGAGAGACGGCCCAGAAGCCUACGUGAGGCAACAGGGGGGAAUAUGGCGCAAUGGGCGGAAGCCUGAUGCAGCAACGCUGCGUGCGGGAUGCUGGCCUUCGGGUGGUAAACCGCUUUCGCCUGUAACGAAGCGUGAGUGACGGUAAUGGGUAAAGAAGCACCGGCUAACUACGUG
This 468-nucleotide ribosomal RNA is filed under the name uncultured bacterium. RNAcentral's name for it is "partial 16S ribosomal RNA". It matches the Rfam family "Bacterial small subunit ribosomal RNA", at positions 28 to 507 of the family's 1533-position model. The record is from RNAcentral.